GAUGAACGCUGGCGGCGUGCCUAAUACAUGCAAGUCGAGCGAACGGACGAGAAGCUUGCUUUUCUGAUGUUAGCGGCGGACGGGUGAGUAACACGUGGAUAACCUACCUAUAAGACUGGGAUAACUUCGGGAAACCGGAGCUAAUACCGGAUAAUAUUUUGAACCGCAUGGUUCAAAAGUGAAAGACGGUCUUGCUGUCACUUAUAGAUGGAUCCGCGCUGCAUUAGCUAGUUGGUAAGGUAACGGCUUACCAAGGCAACGAUGCAUAGCCGACCUGAGAGGGUGAUCGGCCACACUGGAGCUGAGACACGGUCCAGACUCCUACGGGAGGCAGCAGUAGGGAAUCUUCCGCAAUGGGCGAAAGCCUGACGGGGCAACGCCGCGUGAGUGAUGAAGGUCUUCGGAUCGUAAAACUCUGUUAUUAGGGAAGAACAUAUGUGUAAGUAACUGUGCACAUCUUGACGGUACCUAAUCAGAAAGCCACGGCUAACUACGUG
Molecule: ribosomal RNA, 497 nt
Filed under: uncultured bacterium
Lineage: Bacteria
Description: partial 16S ribosomal RNA
Rfam family: Bacterial small subunit ribosomal RNA
Source: RNAcentral